Molecule: ribosomal RNA, 1251 nt
Filed under: Triticum aestivum (bread wheat)
Lineage: Eukaryota; Viridiplantae; Streptophyta; Magnoliopsida; Poales; Poaceae
Description: partial small subunit ribosomal RNA
Source: RNAcentral
AUGGACAGCGCGAGGAGCUGUCUCGUGGACGACGUGAGCAGCGGCGCGUCCACGGGCAAGAAGGCCUCUCCGGCGGCGGCCGGGCCGGCGACCAAGCCGCUGCAGCGCGUCGGCAGUGGGGCCAGCGCGGUCAUGGACGCGCCGGAGCCAGGCGCGGAGGCAGACUCCGGCCGCGUCGGCAGGCUGCCGUCGUCCAAGUACAAGGGCGUGGUGCCGCAGCCCAACGGGCGGUGGGGUGCGCAGAUCUACGAGCGCCACCAGCGCGUCUGGCUGGGCACGUUCACGGGGGAGGCCGAGGCUGCGCGCGCCUAUGACGCGGCGGCGCAGCGCUUCCGCGGCCGCGAUGCCGUCACCAACUUCCGCCCGCUCGCCGAGUCCGACCCCGGCGACGCCGCCGAGCUCCGCUUCCUCACCGCCCGCUCCAAGGCCGAGGUCGUCGACAUGCUGCGCAAGCACAUCUACCCCGACGAGCUCGCGCAGUACAAGCGCGCCUUCCUCGCCUCGGCGGCGUCGUCCCCUACGUCGUCUUCGUCAGCUCCCGCCUCGUCGGCUCCUUCAGCCGCGGCGCCCUCCGCGGCGGCGCGGCGCGAGUACCUGUUCGACAAGACGGUCACGCCCAGCGACGUGGGGAAGCUGAACCGGCUGGUGAUACCGAAGCAGUACGCCGAGAAGCACUUCCCACUGCAGCUCCCUUCUGCCAGCGCCGUCGUGCCAGGCGAGUGCAAGGGCAUGCUGCUCAACUUCGACGACGCGGUCGGAAAGAUGUGGAGGUUCCGGUACUCGUACUGGAACAGCAGCCAGAGCUACGUGCUCACCAAGGGGUGGAGCCGCUUCGUCAAGGAGAAGGGCCUGCACGCCGGCGAUGCGGUCGGGUUCUACCGCUCCGCCUCCGGCAACAACCAGCUCUUCAUCGACUGCAAGAUCCGGUCCAAGUCCACGACGACGACGACGACGACCUUCCUUAACGCGGUGGCCGCCCCGUCGCCGGCACCGGUGACGAGGACCGUGAGACUGUUCGGCGUCGACCUUCUCGCGGCACCGGCGCCCGAGCACGAGGAGUACGGCAUGGCCAAGACAAACAAGAGAUCCAUGGACGCCAGCGUAGAGGCGCCCACUCCGGCGCACGCGGUCUGGAAGAAGCGGUGCGUAGACUUCGCGCUGACCUAUAGACUUGCCACCGCCCCAGAGUUCCCGAGGUCAAGAGAUCAACUAGAAGGAGUACAAGCAGCAGGGAGUACAUUUGCUCUAUAG